GACGAACGCUGGCGACGUGCCUAAUACAUGCAAGUAGAACGCUGAAGAGAGGAGCUUGCUCUUCUUGGAUGAGUUGCGAACGGGUGAGUAACGCGUAGGUAACCUGCCUUGUAGCGGGGGAUAACUAUUGGAAACGAUAGCUAAUACCGCAUAACAAUGGAUGACACAUGUCAUUUAUUUGAAAGGGGCAAUUGCUCCACUACAAGAUGGACCUGCGUUGUAUUAGCUAGUAGGUGAGGUAACGGCUCACCUAAGCGACGAUACAUAGCCGACCUGAGAGGGUGAUCGGCCACACUGGGACUGAGACACGGCCCAGACUCCUACGGGAGGCAGCAGUAGGGAAUCUUCGGCAAUGGGGGCAACCCUGACCGAGCAACGCCGCGUGAGUGAAGAAGGUUUUCGGAUCGUAAAGCUCUGUUGUAAGUCAAGAACGAGUGUGAGAGUGGAAAGUUCACACUGUGACGGUAGCUUACCAGAAAGGGACGGCUAACUACGUGCCAGCAGCCGCGGUAAUACGUAGGUCCCGA
This 527-nucleotide ribosomal RNA is filed under the name uncultured Streptococcus sp. Its description in RNAcentral is "bacterial SSU rRNA". It matches the Rfam family "Bacterial small subunit ribosomal RNA", at positions 28 to 537 of the family's 1533-position model. Lineage: Bacteria; Bacillati; Bacillota; Bacilli; Lactobacillales; Streptococcaceae. The record is from RNAcentral.